GAUGAACGCUGGCGGCGUGCCUAAUACAUGCAAGUCGAGCGAACAGACGAGGAGCUUGCUCCUCUGACGUUAGCGGCGGACGGGUGAGUAACACGUUGAUAACCUACCUAUAAGACUGGGAUAACUUCGGGAAACCGGAGCUAAUACCGGAUAAUAUAUUGAACCGCAUGGUUCAAUAGUGAAAGACGGUUUUGCUGUCACUUAUAGAUGGAUCCGCGCCGCAUUAGCUAGUUGGUAAGGUAACGGCUUACCAAGGCAACGAUGCGUAGCCGACCUGAGAGGGUGAUCGGCCACACUGGAACUGAGACACGGUACAGACUCCUACGGGAGGCAGCAGUAGGGAAUCUUCCGCAAUGGGCGAAAGCCUGACGGAGCAACGCCGCGUGAGUGAUGAAGGUCUUCGGAUCGUAAAACUCUGUUAUUAGGGAAGAACAAAUGUGUAAGUAACUAUGCACGUCUUGACGGUACCGAAUCAGAAAGCCACGGCUAACUACGU
Molecule: ribosomal RNA, 496 nt
Filed under: uncultured bacterium
Lineage: Bacteria
Description: partial 16S ribosomal RNA
Rfam family: Bacterial small subunit ribosomal RNA
Source: RNAcentral